GUAAAGCACUUUCAGUCGUGAGGAAGGUAGUGUAGUUAAUAGCUGCAUUAUUUGACGUUAGCGACAGAAGAAGCACCGGCUAACUCCGUGCCAGCAGCCGCGGUAAUACGGAGGGUGCGAGCGUUAAUCGGAAUUACUGGGCGUAAAGCGCAUGCAGGUGGUUUGUUAAGUCAGAUGUGAAAGACCCGGGGCGUCAACCUCGGAAUAGCAUUUGAAACUAGGCAGACUAGAGUACUGUAGAGGGGGGUAGGAAUUUCAGGUGUAGCGGUGAAAUGCGUAGAGAUCUGAAGGAAUACCGGUGGCGAAGGCGGCCCCCUGGACAGAUACUGACACUCAGAUGCGAAAGCGUGGGGAGCAAACAGGAUUAGAUACCCUGGUAG
Molecule: ribosomal RNA, 380 nt
Filed under: uncultured bacterium
Lineage: Bacteria
Description: bacterial SSU rRNA
Rfam family: Bacterial small subunit ribosomal RNA
Source: RNAcentral